Molecule: long non-coding RNA, 834 nt
Filed under: Brassica napus (rape)
Lineage: Eukaryota; Viridiplantae; Streptophyta; Magnoliopsida; Brassicales; Brassicaceae
Description: long non-coding RNA (BNAP_LNC002696)
Source: RNAcentral
CGUGAGCGAGCGUGCCGUCGCCGGAGCCCUCUGUCCUUCGCCAAGAUGUUCCUCCUCCGCUUCUACUGGUCUGCCUUCCCCGACCGCCUUGUUCGAGCUCUGGCUUAGUCCCCAAUCGUCGUUAUCAUCUCGUGAAGUUCCGAUAGCGACGGUGGAUAACCGGCUGGAGUAACGACGCGGGCGUGUGGAGGGUCACGGCAUGGUGAAGUCGGCAUGUCAGUCUUUAGUUUCAAUCCGGGAGAUGGAUGCUUAUUCAGAUCCGUCGCCGCCGGUCCUAGUCUCCGGGAGGUAGGGGCUUCCGCAGCUCAGCCAUCGCCGGCUCUGUUUCCGGGGGGUGAAGGCUUCCAUAGUCUUGCGCCGCCGGCUUUAGGUUUCUUGUCGUAAGGUAGGGUUUGUUCCCGUUUGUUGGUCUGUUUGGUUUGUGUUCCUGGUUCUUGGCUCCUGUGGUUCGCGGCUUCACUUUUCUGGAUUAGAUCUCGAUUUAAUCGAUUGAACUAUCCGAUCUUUAGACAAGCGUGAAUGGAGUGAGAUGAUUUGCGGUGUCGCUCUUUUGGGGAGGGUGCCUGGGGACUCGGUACGAGUUCGUUGAGUUGGUUUCUAUGGAGGCUCGGCGGUAUUACGAGCUCCGGUGAAUCGUCGGUUACAGUGUCGCCGUUUUCGAAGCGGCGUCGAUCAAGUUGCGGUGGACAGGGUGAGAUCGCGUUGAUGCGAACACGUGUCCGACCCCUUUCGGUUUUGGGUCGCAAGCAGGCGGUUAGGUUCUAGCUGUUUGGGCCCUAGGCCUUUUGUUUUAUUUUUUGCUUUUUCUGUGGGCUUUAAGCUGUGUAUUUGGUG